This 871-nucleotide ribosomal RNA is filed under the name uncultured bacterium. Its description in RNAcentral is "bacterial SSU rRNA". It matches the Rfam family "Bacterial small subunit ribosomal RNA", at positions 32 to 876 of the family's 1533-position model. The record is from RNAcentral.
AACGCUGGCGGCGUGGAUAAGACAUGCAAGUCGAGCGCUGAUUCCGGGGUAGCAAUAUUCCGGAGUUGGAGCGGCGCAAGGGUGCGUAACACGUGGGUAAUCUGCCGCGAAGUUUGGGAUAACUUGCUGAAAGGCGAGCUAAUACCGAAUGUGGCCUUUGGGAGACAUCUCCUGACGGCUGAAGUUGGGGACCGCAAGGCCUGACGCUUCACGAUGAACCCGCGGCCUAUCAGCUAGUUGGUGAGGUAACGGCCCACCAAGGCUAAGACGGGUAGCUGGUCUGAGAGGACGACCAGCCACACUGGAACUGAGACACGGUCCAGACACCUACGGGUGGCAGCAGUCGAGAAUUUUUCACAAUGGGCGCAAGCCUGAUGGAGCGACGCCGCGUGGGGGAUGAAUGGCUUCGGCCCGUAAACCCCUGUCAUUCGCGAUCAAACCUUGUUAUUUAAAAGAUGACGAGCUGAUAGUAGCGGAAGAGGAAGGGACGGCUAACUCUGUGCCAGCAGCCGCGGUAAUACAGAGGUCCCGAGCGUUGUUCGGAUUCACUGGGCGUAAAGGGUGCGUAGGUGGUGAGGUAAGUCGGAUGUGAAAUCUCGGAGCUUAACUCCGAAACUGCAUUGGAAACUACCCUGCUUGAGGAUUGGAGGGGGGACUGGAAUUCUCGGUGUAGCAGUGAAAUGCGUAGAUAUCGAGAGGAACACCAGUGGCGAAGGCGAGUCCCUGGACAACUCCUGACACUGAGGCACGAAAGCUAGGGGAGCAAACAGGAUUAGAUACCCUGUAGUCCUAGCCGUAAACGGUGCACGUUUGCUGUAAAAGGAAUCAACCCCUUUUGUGGCGGAGCCAACGCGUUAAACGUGCCGCCUGG